Myodes glareolus (Bank vole) is the source of this 1584-nucleotide long non-coding RNA. RefSeq lists it as uncharacterized. The record is from RefSeq and is a predicted model, not a curated record. Lineage: Eukaryota; Metazoa; Chordata; Mammalia; Rodentia; Cricetidae.
UGAGGGCACUGAAUGCAUAUGGUACACACACAUACUGAAGCAAAACACUCAUACGCAUGAGAUAAAAUUAAGCAAAGCAACUAUGAAUUUCCAGACUGAAGUCAUAUGAGUGCUGUCUCUUCUCUUCACAGUCAUGUGUUUUCAUUGUUUAUUUUGGACCUAGGAAAGCACAGUUAGCAGGACUUACGGAUUUCCUGAGUUGCCAUGGGCCACCAACUUCUCACAAAUGAAUUCACAGAACUAAGUUCAGAAGUUUUGUCAGGUUGCCUAUCUGGGAACUUCCUUAACUUUCACAAAGAAUAGGAAAUGUAAUGAAGCAGAAAAAUUACUCUAAUCUGCUGUGUAUCUAUUACUGUGAUUUGAAUGUGCCCUCCUCCCACACAUGAAUAUUGUAUAUCUAAUCACAAAAUGAGCUCAUGGAAGACGGUGUGAAGGCCAAUGCUACUUCAGAUCUGGUAAUUGAAUUUGUUUUUUAAAAUGGGGAAGCCAGUUCAGGUCCCGGGGGCACAGCUGAGUAGAUAAAGUGCUUGCAAAGUCACAUGCCCAGAAUGGAAGUUUGAAAAGCCAGAUGUGGUGGCACCCAUAUUAUGCCAGAGCUGGCGAUGGGGAGCAGGGAGGGUCUAUGGAGCUCCCUAGUCAGCCAGCCUAAACUCGGUGAGUUCCAGGUCAGUGGACUCCUGGCCUUCAGGCCUCCACCCUGAGUACUGGGUUUGCAGGUGUGCAGCGUCAGGCCUGGCUAAUUUUUAGGUAUCCUACGUGGUUUGAUCCUUGUAAAAAGAAAAAAGGUGGGGGAAGGCUGACUCCCUUUCUCCCUUCCUCAGGAGAGGUUCCAGAGUGUCCUCUGCCCUGACACCAACCUCACAGCUUGACCUUCCACAGACCAUUGUUGGUUUGGUUCAAAUCUGCUUAAUCCACUCAGCUUUCACCCACCAGGCUGGAAGAAAAGGGGAUUACUUUUAUCAACUGUCUCCACUCCCCAGCGGGACUUUGAGGCCCACUUAGGAGUCGCUUGAUUUUUUUUUUCCGGUAAGAUAUAAACAGGAAUUAGAAGUGGAAAUGAAACAAACGGAAAUCCCCAAACUGGACAGAAUCAGGGCAACAAAAAGAAUACAGAGUGUUUACAAGUAAGGGGCUCUAUUCGCUCUCCAAGUCAAAGAGCAGUUGAGGGAACAGUGCUCACCUCCAAGCCGGCUUUAGUUCCUCCCUCGUUUCCUCGGCAUUCCUUUGAGACACAAAAUGGUAUUUGAUGGCGACUCUACAAAGAGAUUUUAAGUGUUAAUAAGAAAAGUAAUUACAUUAAGAAGGAAGGAGAAAGUGAGGAACGAAGAGAAGGUGAGGUUGAAAGCUUGAAGCAGGAAGAGAAGUCUCAUUUUUGUUUGUCAUUGAAGCUGUUCCUCUUGGACUAGCGAGAUGGGUCAUUGUAAAGGCAUUUGCUGUUGAGCCUGGCAAUGUGAACUGCAUCCUGGACCCUCAGGUGGAAAUCAAGAACAAUCCCAGCAAGUUGUAAUCGGACUUCUUCAUGUAUGCCCUGGUCACAUGUGGGCUCACACAUAUAAAUAAACGUAAUAAAAAUUUUUAAAACAA